Molecule: ribosomal RNA, 487 nt
Filed under: uncultured bacterium
Lineage: Bacteria
Description: bacterial SSU rRNA
Rfam family: Bacterial small subunit ribosomal RNA
Source: RNAcentral
GAUGAACGCUAGCGGCAGGCUUAACACAUGCAAGUCGAGGGGCAGCGCGUCGUAGCAAUACGAUGGCGGCGACCGGCGGAAGGGUGCGUAACGCGUGAGCAACUUGCCCGUCACAGGGGGAUAACCGGUGGAAACGCCGACUAACACCCCGUAACACAUUUCGCUGCAUGGCGAGAUGUUGAAAACUCCGGUGGUGACGGAUAGGCUCGCGUGCCAUUAGCUAGUCGGCGGGGCAACGGCCCACCGAGGCGACGAUGGCUAGGGGUUCUGAGAGGAAGGCCCCCCACACUGGGACUGAGACACGGCCCAGACUCCUACGGGAGGCAGCAGUGGGGGAUAUUGCACAAUGGGGGAAACCCUGAUGCAGCGACGCCGCGUGAGGGAAGAACGGUCCUCUGGAAUUGUAAACCUCUGUCUUCGGGGACGAAACGAGACGGUACCCGAGGAGGAAGCCACGGCUAACUACGUGCCAGCAGCCGCUGUAAAC